GUGAAUCAUCAAAUCUUUGAACGCAUAUUGCACUCUCUGGUAUUCCGGAGAGUAUGCCUACUUGAGGGUCAUUUGUAAUAAUAUACAUUUCGAGACUUUCUUGGAUUCAAAAAUGUGACGGUCCAGCUUUCGUGUGGUGGUCGCCUCAAAUGCAAGAUAAGCUUAUUUCUUGGGUUGCGUGAUACUUUCAGUCUCAUCGUGACUUCACAAGGAAUCUUCUAGUGUGUUAAGAAUUAUGCAAGCGAUUAACUUUAUUUAUCUC
Molecule: unclassified non-coding RNA, 262 nt
Filed under: Archaeospora sp.
Lineage: Eukaryota; Fungi; Glomeromycota; Glomeromycetes; Archaeosporales; Archaeosporaceae
Description: partial contains 5.8S ribosomal RNA and internal transcribed spacer 2
Rfam family: 5.8S ribosomal RNA (bases 1-71)
Source: RNAcentral